This 2262-nucleotide ribosomal RNA is filed under the name Triticum aestivum (bread wheat). Its description in RNAcentral is "partial small subunit ribosomal RNA". Lineage: Eukaryota; Viridiplantae; Streptophyta; Magnoliopsida; Poales; Poaceae. The record is from RNAcentral.
ACCUCGCCGAUUAUUUAUCCCCUCCCACCCUGCCAACAACGGCCUCCGCCUCCUCCUCCGCCGCCGCCGGAUCCUCCCCCUCCACCGGCCGGCACCGCCGCCCCCCUCCCCGCCGGCCACCGUCAACCCCUCCCACCACCACUCCAACUCACAGGCGUCGUCGAGCAUCGCCAGUAACGCCUCCCAUCCGCACGAGGUCCACGCAUCGGCAUCCACCCAUCCACCCAUCCGCCUUUGACUGCCCAGUCCAGAUUCCGCAUCCAGAUCUAGCCGCGCGCGCGAGCGAUCCGGGGAGGGGGGCGAUGAACGGAGGCAUCGCUCCGCCGCCGGCCGCGGCCGCGCCGACGGAGGCGGCGACGGCGGCGACCACGCCCAGCCACCGCCGGCUGCCGGACUUCCUCCAGAGCGUGAACCUCAAGUACGUGAAGCUCGGGUACCACUACCUCAUCACCCACCUCAUCACGCUGCUGCUGCUGCCGCUCAUGGCCGUCAUCGUGCUCGAGGCCGGCCGCACCGACCCCGACGACCUCCGCCAGCUCUGGCUGCACCUCCAGUACAACCUCGUCUCGGUGCUCGUGCUCUCCGCCGUCCUCGUCUUCGGCGCCACCGUGUACGCGCUCACCCGCCCGCGCCCGGUCUACCUCGUCGACUUCGCCUGCUACAAGGCGCCCGACCACCUCAAGGUCGGCUUCCAGGAGUUCCUCCGCCACUCGGCGCUCUGCGGCUUCUCCGACGACGCCCUCGAGUUCCAGCGCAAGAUCCUCGAGCGCUCCGGCCUCAGCGAGGAGACCUACUGCCCCGAGGGCAUGCACGCCAUCCCGCCCGAGCCCACCAUGGCCAACGCCCGCGCCGAGGCCGAGUCCGUCAUGUUCGGCGCGCUCGACAGCCUCUUCGCCGCCACCGGCGUCAAGCCCAAGGACGUCGGCAUCCUCGUCGUCAACUGCAGCCUCUUCAACCCGACGCCCUCGCUCUCCGCCAUGAUCGUCAACCGGUACAAGCUCAGGGGCAACGUCCGGAGCUUCAACCUCGGCGGCAUGGGCUGCAGCGCCGGCGUCAUCGCCAUCGACCUGGCCCGGGACAUGCUCCAGGUGCACCGCGGCACCUACGCCGUGGUGGUGAGCACGGAGAACAUCACGCAGAACUGGUACUUCGGCAACCGCAAGUCGAUGCUCAUCCCCAACUGCCUCUUCCGCGUCGGCUGCUCCGCGGUGCUCCUCUCCAACCGCGGCGCCGACCGCCGGCGCGCAAAGUACAGCCUCAAGCACGUGGUGCGCACGCACAAGGGCGCCGACGACAAGGCCUUCAACUGCGUGUACCAGGAGCAGGACGGCGAGGGCAAGACGGGCGUGUCCCUGUCCAAGGACCUGAUGGCGAUCGCCGGCGGCGCGCUCAAGACCAACAUCACCACGCUGGGGCCGCUGGUGCUCCCCUUCAGCGAGCAGCUGCUCUUCUUCGCCACGCUGGUGUCCAAGAAGCUCUUCAACGCCAAGGUGAAGCCCUACAUCCCGGACUUCAAGCUGGCGUUCGAGCACUUCUGCAUCCACGCCGGCGGGCGCGCGGUGAUCGACGAGCUGGAGAAGAACCUGCAGCUGCAGCCGGUGCACGUGGAGGCGUCCCGGAUGACGCUGCACCGGUUCGGCAACACCUCCAGCAGCUCCAUCUGGUACGAGCUGGCCUACAUGGAGGCCAAGGGCCGGGUCCGGCGCGGCGACCGCAUCUGGCAGAUCGCCUUCGGCAGCGGGUUCAAGUGCAACAGCGCGGUGUGGCACGCCCUGCGCAACGUCAAGCCGUCGCCCAGCACCCCCUGGGACGACUGCAUCGACCGCUACCCCGUGGAGCUCGUCGACGGCUUCCCCACCCACACCCACACCCACAAGUAGCAGCAGCAGCAAUAGCAUCCGCGCCCGUCGCCAUUAAUGGAGCUCUUCCAGAUACAGAAACCCGAGCAUAGCAUGGAUCAAUUCAAAUCCAUUUAUGGUCAAUUACCAGAUGCAUAGAUGUGCAAGAAUGAAUCUCCAGGCGUGGUGCGAGUCUGCUCUGAUCCGUAUGAAUGCAACUCUGCCCUCAUCUUCUUCAUCGUUUUGAUUGAUUGGUUGGUGGUCUGUGUACUUGAGGAGGGAUCUGGACCCCAUCCUGCCCUGACCCUGUCCCUGCGGCAGUGUAUUAUUGGGUCUGUCGACUGAAGUAUGGAGCAUGUAUUUGUCAUGUCCAAUCGAUUUUUUUCUUCUGCUAUCAUAGUGUCCUUGAUUUAUACGCCUCAAA